Molecule: ribosomal RNA, 994 nt
Filed under: Listeria monocytogenes
Lineage: Bacteria; Bacillati; Bacillota; Bacilli; Caryophanales; Listeriaceae
Description: partial 23S ribosomal RNA
Rfam family: Bacterial large subunit ribosomal RNA
Source: RNAcentral
UUGGUUAAGUUAGAAAGGGCGCACGGUGGAUGCCUUGGCACUAGGAGCCGAAGAAGGACGGGACUAACACCGAUAUGCUUUGGGGAGCUGUACGUAAGCGUUGAUCCAGAGAUUUCCGAAUGGGGGAACCCACUAUCUUUAGUCGGAUAGUAUCCUUACGUGAAUACAUAGCGUGAGGAAGGCAGACCCAGGGAACUGAAACAUCUAAGUACCUGGAGGAAGAGAAAGAAAAAUCGAUUUCCUGAGUAGCGGCGAGCGAAACGGAAAGAGCCCAAACCAAGAAGCUUGCUUCUUGGGGUUGUAGGACACUCUAUACGGAGUUACAAAAGAAAGUUAUAAAUGAAGCGGUCUGGAAAGGCCCGCCAAAGACGGUAACAGCCCGGUAGUUGAAAUGGCUUUCCCUCCAGAGUGGAUCCUGAGUACGGCGGAACACGUGAAAUUCCGUCGGAAUCCGGGAGGACCAUCUCCCAAGGCUAAAUACUCCCUAGUGACCGAUAGUGAACCAGUACCGUGAGGGAAAGGUGAAAAGCACCCCGGAAGGGGAGUGAAACAGUUCCUGAAACCGUGUGCCUACAAGUAGUUAGAGCCCGUUAAUGGGUGAUAGCGUGCCUUUUGUAGAAUGAACCGGCGAGUUACGAUUUGUUGCAAGGUUAAGCGGAAAAAGCGGAGCCGUAGCGAAAGCGAGUCUGAAUAGGGCGCAUAAGUAACAGGUCGUAGACCCGAAACCAGGUGAUCUACCCAUGUCCAGGAUGAAGGUAAGGUAAUACUUACUGGAGGUCCGAACCCACGCACGUUGAAAAGUGCGGGGAUGAGGUGUGGGUAGCGGAGAAAUUCCAAUCGAACUUGGAGAUAGCUGGUUCUCUCCGAAAUAGCUUUAGGGCUAGCCUCGAGGUAAAGAGUCAUGGAGGUAGAGCACUGUUUGGACUAGGGGCCCUUCUCGGGUUACCGAAUUCAGAUAAACUCCGAAUGCCAUGUACUUAUACUCGGGAGUCAG